Transfer RNA from Ipomoea nil (Japanese morning glory), 74 nucleotides. It matches the Rfam family "tRNA". Rfam says of the family: Transfer RNA (tRNA) molecules are approximately 80 nucleotides in length. Their secondary structure includes four short double-helical elements and three loops (D, anti-codon, and T loops). Lineage: Eukaryota; Viridiplantae; Streptophyta; Magnoliopsida; Solanales; Convolvulaceae. The record is from Rfam.
GGCCGCAUAGCACAGUGGAUUAGUGCAUUUGAUUUUGAAUUAGAAGGUCGUGGGUUCAACUCCCACUGUGGUCA